AUUGAACGCUGGCGGCAGGCCUAACACAUGCAAGUCGAACGAGUGGCGGACGGGUGAGUAAAGUCUGGGAAACUGCCUGAUGGAGGUGGAUAACUACUUGAAACGGUAGCUAAUACCGCCUACCAUCAGCUGUGCCCAGAUGGGAUUAGCUUGGGGGUGGGUGAACUGCUCACCAAGGCGACGAUCCCUAGAUGGUCUGAGAGGAUGACCAGCCACACUGGAACUGAGACACGGUCCAGACGCCUACGGGAGGCAGCAGUGGGGAAUAGUGCACAAUGGGCGCGAGCCUGAUGCAGCCAUGCCGCGUGUAUGAAGAAGGCAUUCGGGUUGUAAAGGACUUUCAGCGGGGAGGCGUUACCCGAAGAAGAAGCACCGGCUAACUCCGUGCCAGCAGCCGCGGUAAUUC
RNAcentral lists this ribosomal RNA (406 nucleotides) under uncultured bacterium. Its description in RNAcentral is "partial 16S ribosomal RNA". It matches the Rfam family "Bacterial small subunit ribosomal RNA", at positions 30 to 526 of the family's 1533-position model. The record is from RNAcentral.